Molecule: ribosomal RNA, 428 nt
Filed under: uncultured bacterium
Lineage: Bacteria
Description: partial 16S ribosomal RNA
Rfam family: Bacterial small subunit ribosomal RNA
Source: RNAcentral
GUAGGGAAUAUUGCGCAAUGGGGGAAACCCUGACGCAGCGACGCCGCGUGAGUGAUGAAGGCCUUCGGGUCGUAAAGCUCUGUUGCAGGGGAAUAAAAAAAUGAAGGUACCCUGUGAGGAAGGAUCGGCUAACUUCGUGCCAGCAGCCGCGGUAAGACGAGGGAUCCUAGCGUUGCUCGGAAUCAUUGGGCGUAAAGAGGGCGUAGGUGGCUUGGUAAGUCAGGUGUGAAAGCCCAGGGCUCAACCAUGGAAGUGCAUUUGAUACUGCCGAGCUUUAGUGUCAGAGAUGUUACCGGAAUACCUGGUGUAGUGGUGAAAUACGUAGAUAUCAGGUGGAACACCGGAGGCGAAGGCGGGUAACUGGACGAACACUGACACUGAGGCCCGAAAGCGUGGGGAUCAAACAGGAUUAGAAACCCGUGUAGUCC